UACGUAGGGGGCAAGCGUUGUCCGGAUUUAUUGGGCGUAAAGAGCGUGUAGGCGGCCUGAAAGGUCAGCUGUGAAAACUCGAGGCUCAACCUCGAGACGUCGGUUGAAACCAUCUGGCUAGAGUCCGGAAGAGGAGUGUGGAAUUCCCGGUGUAGCGGUGAAAUGCGCAGAUAUCGGGAAGAACACCCGUGGCGAAGGCGGCACUCUGGGACGGUACUGACGCUGAGGCACGAAAGCCAGGGGAGCAAACGGG
This 253-nucleotide ribosomal RNA is filed under the name uncultured bacterium. Its description in RNAcentral is "partial 16S ribosomal RNA". It matches the Rfam family "Bacterial small subunit ribosomal RNA", at positions 524 to 776 of the family's 1533-position model. The record is from RNAcentral.